UUGAUUUUUUUUUUUUCUUCAUCUUUAUUUACUGAUUCUUUGCGAUGGAAACUUCAGUUUUCUUUCCAGCUUGCUAUUAACUCUUACCCAUGAAUUGAGUGCUUUGUAUAUACUUUGUAUUAUUGUAAUUCAAACUCCAUUUCCUCUUUUAAAGUUAAUGUUGCUCUUGUUCCUAUACUUCUCUUAUUUAUCUCAAAUUUCCUUCUCUGGCAAGUGAGUCGAUCCCUUAACUAUUUCUCAAACUUCGAAUAUUGAUACUUGACUAUGAUGCUCACAACUCAUUUUAAUCUAUGAUUUUUCUUGGCAUACUUCCCUCUGCUAGCUAGACCUGCAUAAUGAUCAUUAUGAGUCAUAAUUUCAUGUGUCUCUUGUAAUUAAGGCCUAGACAGGUCGAUUAUAAAUCCAACACAAGAUAUAUGGUAGGACAAAACAAAACAAAGAGAAUAGUACUCUUAAUUUCCUCUACUACCUACUACUUUCUCUCCUCGGUCAUCCUCCACCUUCUUCUAUUCCUACUUCAUAACAUAAGGUAGAGAACUUGACAUUAACAUCCAAUUCAUCUAGCUAUAUCAAAGAUAUAGUGUAUAACUCAAGUUUAAUUGUAUGAAUUUUACUCAAAAGAGAGAUAAACUUGUCCAAAUUUUCUAAGUGCAACCAAUUUGAUGCGCACUUCCAGUGAUCCAGAAGACAUAUGACAGAGAUUCAUUAAUGAAAUUCUUGGCUUGUCAAGAAUGAUACAUCUUCAUAAAUAGUCACAGGAGCAUUAUAGUCACAGGGUUAAUUACAUCUUCAUAUGAUACAUCUUCAAAUUCUUGGCUUGCCAAAGGGUUAAUUACAUUAUAGUCACAGGAGCUAGGAGAGAGACAGAAAGGGGUAGGGAGGGAGGUAACUGCCUAUGUUACUUCUCUCUUAUAGUUUUAUUAAUAUUAAUUCGUAAGAUUAGCCUGCAAAAUUCAUCCCAUUUUCCCAGAAACAAGAAGCAAACAUAGGCAUGCAUCAAUAGGUAGUUAAAACGGUUAUUUGUUGAUGUAAGGAAAUGCAUGAGUUCCCAUGAAGGACGUCCUCUUAACGAAUCGACCUUUCAUUCUAGGCCUUUUCUCUGCAUUCAAUUUUCUCACUUCGUACCUUAUCUUCUUCGAAAAUAAUCUUGUCCUUCGCUUUUCUCUGUACCUUAAUACUCUUGCUUCUCUUCCUGCAUUGCCUCUUCCUGCGUGUCCCCCAAGGCCCCCAUAAGGGCGGUGAUGAUGAUGUCCAUUAUGGCAUAUAUCCUAUAAUUAACAUAACGAAAAUAAAAAGAUAAUUAAUUAAUUAAUAACAGAUUAAUUAAACCGAGUUCAAAAUUACAUGCAUUCAAGUAUAUGUUUACCAUGCAGUCAGGCCAGCAAUCAUCAGGACUGAGCUCUGGUCUGCUUCCUGUAGUCCAUGGAGAGCCAUGGCUAGCCCAAGCAGUGAUGACUGCUUCAUAAUUUAGCCUCAAAGAUACAUUCCUACUGAUUUCUUUCUUGUUUCCACUAUUCAUCACUGUUGUGUCAGCCACUGGUACUGCCUUCUCCUCCUCUUCUUCAUCUCCAGUUAUCGGUGACUCGUAAUUAUUGAAAUUCCAAUCAAAUAUUGCUUCCAGUUGAUCUUGUUCAUCCUUGACCUUCACUACUUUGUCCUCAAACUUCUCAUCAUCUUCCUCCUUACAAUCUAACAACCCCAAAUCCUUGAUAUCAGGAGAAGCGUCCUCAAAUCCUCUUCCAAAUAGGUUCUCAACGUCUGCAGCAAACUCAGCAAGAUCCAUAUCUGAAGGUAAAAACCCAGGUAAAUUAUCCAGGUCACUUGUAGUUCCUUCCUUUCCAGAAUCAUCAAAAAUCAUAUUUCCCUCUUCGUCCGCCAUGGCUAUUUCGGUUCCUUCACAUGUUAUCAUAUCAUCAGUACAUAGCUCUGCAGCAAAAGGAUCAAACACAGGAACCAGACACGGACACUGAUCUUCAUCUUCAUCAGCAACAGUAUGACCUUCUUCUUCACUACCAAUCUCAGGAACAAGAGGAAGAGGAUUCAUCAAGACUUUCUCUUCAUCUUUAAGUUGUUGAUGUACUAAUAUGGACUUGUUAUUGUUAUGCCUCGGGGUUCUUGCCUUUCUAGUGAACCCUUGAAUCCAAGCCGGAGGAGAUACUACAGUGUUCAUCGAACCACUUGUCUUAGAUGAAGCAGACUCGAGCCUGACCCUAUCGUGCCUGCUGGCUAACUGGUUUGCGGAAUGGACAGAUUCAUCGCAGGUCUGGCAAAGAAAAGCAUCAUCUGCAGCGCAGAACCACCGAGCUCUCUUGCAGGAACAGCCAUCGCAGGGUCUAACAGUCUUGCCGGCAAGGGCGUUUGCUGCUUUCCUUUCAAUGAUCAUUGAAGAGAUUUUUGGUGUAGAUCGAAAGUUGGCCAAAAUAAGGACUGAAGAGCUAACCAAAAAUCAAGUUACCUUUACAAGGAGUAAUGGGGUGUCUCUUGUAUUUAAUUUGGGGGCCAUUUGAUGCAAUUAUUGAUUAGAGAGAGCAAUGUUGUUUUAGGAUUC
This 2548-nucleotide unclassified non-coding RNA is filed under the name Hevea brasiliensis (rubber tree). Lineage: Eukaryota; Viridiplantae; Streptophyta; Magnoliopsida; Malpighiales; Euphorbiaceae. The record is from RNAcentral.